This 468-nucleotide ribosomal RNA is filed under the name uncultured bacterium. RNAcentral describes it as "partial 16S ribosomal RNA". It matches the Rfam family "Bacterial small subunit ribosomal RNA", at positions 28 to 507 of the family's 1533-position model. The record is from RNAcentral.
GACGAACGCUGGCGGCGUGCUUAACACAUGCAAGUCGAACGGAAAGGCCCUGCUUUUGUGUGGUGCUCGAGUGGCGAACGGGUGAGUAACACGUGAGUAACCUGCCCCGGACUUUGGCAUAACUUCACUAAACUGGGGCUAAUACCGGAUAGGAGCUCCUGCGGCAUGGUGGGCGUUGUAAAGUUUCGUCGGGUGGGGAUGGACUCGCGGCUUAUCAGCUUGUUGGUGGGGUUGUGGCUUAGCAAGGCUUUGACGGGUAGCCGGCCUGAGAGGGUGGCCGGCCACAUUGGGACUGAGAUACGGCCCGGACUCCUACGGGAGGCAGCAGUGGGGAAUAGUACACAAUGGGCGGAAGCCUGAUGCAGCGACGCCGCGUGCGGGAUGACGGCCUUCGGGUUGUAAAGCGCUUUCGCCUGUGACGAAGAGUGAGUGACGGUAAUGGGUAAAGAAGCACCGGCUAACUACGCG